RNAcentral lists this small RNA (1046 nucleotides) under uncultured Pelagibacterales bacterium. RNAcentral's name for it is "bacterial SSU rRNA". The stretch from base 1 to 658 matches the Rfam family "Bacterial small subunit ribosomal RNA", at positions 867 to 1533 of the family's 1533-position model. The record is from RNAcentral. Lineage: Bacteria; Pseudomonadati; Pseudomonadota; Alphaproteobacteria; Candidatus Pelagibacterales.
CACCGCCUGGGGAGUACGACCGCAAGGUUAAAACUCAAAUGAAUUGACGGGGACCCGCACAAGUAGUGGAGCAUGUGGUUUAAUUCGAAGAUACGCGCAGAACCUUACCAACACUUGACAUGUUCGUCGCGACUUUAAGAGAUUAAAGUUUUCGGUUCGGCCGGACGAAACACAGGUGCUGCAUGGCUGUCGUCAGCUCGUGUCGUGAGAUGUUGGGUUAAGUCCCGCAACGAGCGCAACCCUCACUUUUAGUUGCCAUCAUUUAGUUGGGCACUCUGAAAGAACUGCCAGUGAUAAGCUGGAGGAAGGUGGGGAUGACGUCAAGUCCUCAUGGCCCUUACGUGUUGGGCUACACACGUGCUACAAUGGUAUCCACAACAGGAAGCAAGAUGGCGACAUCAAGCAAAUCCUUAAAAGAUACCUCAGUUCGGAUUGCACUCUGCAACUCGAGUGCAUGAAGCUGGAAUUACUAGUAAUCGUGGAUCAGCGUGCCACGGUGAAUGCGUUCCCGGGUCUUGUACACACCGCCCGUCACACCAUGGGAGUUGGUUCUACCUUAAGGCAAGGUUUAAUACCCUUGACCACGGUAUAGUCAGCGACUGGGGUGAAGUCGUAACAAGGUAGCCGUAGGGGAACCUGCGGCUGGAUUACCUCCUUUCUAAGGAUGAAUAAAAAUUUUUUUUUAUUCUAAAUAAUAUACAUAGGUAAUGUUGACCGUCCUCAUUUCUCUUCUUAGAUCAAAGUGUUUCUCUUGCAUGGGGGCCGGUAGCUCAGUUGGUUAGAGCACACCCUUGAUAAGGGUGGGGUCGAAAGUUCGAGUCUUUCUCGGCCCACCAAUUUAAGAUUAAGGGGGAUUAGCUCAGCUGGGAGAGCGCCUGAUUUGCAUUCAGGAGGUCAGCGGUUCGAUCCCGCUAUCCUCCACCAAAACACUUAGUUAUAAAAAAUUGUGAAUAAAAAUUAAUUUAUAUCAAUAUCUAUAUCCGAACAUUAAUUUUGUUAUUAGUUAAUGUUCAUUAAAAAUUUGAUUCACACAGAAUUUUUUUCUG